AAUACAUGCAAGUCGUACGCUAGCCGCUGAAUUGAUCCUUCGGGUGAAGUGAGGCAAUGACUAGAGUGGCGAACUGGUGAGUAACACGUAAGAAACCUGCCCUUUAGUGGGGGAUAACAUUUGGAAACAGAUGCUAAUACCGCGUAACAACAAAUCACACAUGUGAUCUGUUUGAAAGGUCCUUUUGGAUCGCUAGAGGAUGGUCUUGCGGCGUAUUAGCUUGUUGGUAGGGUAGAAGCCUACCAAGGCAAUGAUGCGUAGCCGAGUUGAGAGACUGGCCGGCCACAUUGGGACUGAGACACUGCCCAAACUCCUACGGGAGGCUGCAGUAGGGAAUUUUCCGCAAUGCACGAAAGUGUGACGGAGCGACGCCGCGUGUGUGAUGAAGGCUUUCGGGUCGUAAAGCACUGUUGUAAGGGAAGAAUAACUGAAUUCAGAGAAAGUUUUCAGCUUGACGGUACCUUACCAGAAAGGGAUGGCUAAAUACGUGCCAGCAGCCGCGGUAAUACGUAUGUCCCGAGCGUUAUCCGGAUUUAUUGGGCGUAAAGCGAGCGCAGACGGUUUAUUAAGUCUGAUGUGAAAUCCCGAGGCCCAACCUCGGAACUGC
This 607-nucleotide ribosomal RNA is filed under the name Oenococcus oeni. Its description in RNAcentral is "bacterial SSU rRNA". It matches the Rfam family "Bacterial small subunit ribosomal RNA", at positions 50 to 624 of the family's 1533-position model. Lineage: Bacteria; Bacillati; Bacillota; Bacilli; Lactobacillales; Lactobacillaceae. The record is from RNAcentral.